RNAcentral lists this ribosomal RNA (680 nucleotides) under uncultured Bacillota bacterium. RNAcentral describes it as "bacterial SSU rRNA". It matches the Rfam family "Bacterial small subunit ribosomal RNA", at positions 60 to 718 of the family's 1533-position model. The record is from RNAcentral. Lineage: Bacteria; Bacillati; Bacillota.
AGUCGAACGCGAAAGUUCCCUUCGGGGGACAAGUAGAGUGGCGCACGGGUGAGUAACACGUAGGUAAUCUACCUUCGGAUGGGGAAUAACAACCGGAAACGGUUGCUAAUACCGCAUAAUGCAGCGGCACCUAAUGGUGACAGUUGUUAAAGCGGGGGAUCGCAAGACCUCGCGUCUGAAGAGGAGCCUGCGGCGGAUUAGCUAGUUGGUAAGGUAACGGCUUACCAAGGCGACGAUCCGUAGCCGGCCUGAGAGGGCGGUCGGCCACACUGACACUGACAUACGGGUCAGACUCCUACGGGAGGCAGCAGUCGGGAAUUUUGGGCAAUGGGCGAAAGCCUGACCCAGCAACGCCGCGUGAAGGAUGAAAUCCCUCGGGAUGUAAACUUCGCAAGAACGGGAAGAAUAAGUCUGUGUAAAUACCACAGAUGAUGACGGUACCGUUUGUAAGCUCCGGCUAACUCCGUGCCAGCAGCCGCGGUAAUACGGGGGGAGCAAGCGUUGUUCGGAUUUACUGGGCGUAAAGGGCGCGUAGGCGGCCAGCGCAAGUCAGUUGUGAAAUCUCCGAGCUUAACUCGGAAAGGUCAACUGAUACUGCGCGGCUAGAGUGCAGAAGGGGCAACUGGAAUUCUUGGUGUAGCGGUGAAAUGCGUAGAUAUCAAGAGGAACACCUGCGGCGA